GCACAGGUAGUUCAGUGGUAGAACUCCUGCCCGGUAAGCAGGAAGCCCCGGGUUCGAUUCCCGGUCUGUGCA
This 72-nucleotide transfer RNA is filed under the name Pristionchus pacificus. RNAcentral's name for it is "tRNA-Thr (GGT) (tRNA-Thr-GGT-1-1)". It matches the Rfam family "tRNA". From Rfam's summary of the family: Transfer RNA (tRNA) molecules are approximately 80 nucleotides in length. The record is from Rfam by way of RNAcentral. Lineage: Eukaryota; Metazoa; Nematoda; Chromadorea; Rhabditida; Neodiplogasteridae.